CUUUCCUGACGCUGAGGAGCGAAAGCGUGGGGAGCGAACAGGCUUAGAUACCCUGGUAGUCCACGCUGUAAACGGUGGGUACUAGGUGUGGGGUCCUUCCAGGGUUCCGUGCCGUAGCUAACGCUUUAAGUACCCCGCCUGGGGAGUACGGCCGCAAGGCUAAAACUCAAAGGAAUUGACGGGGCCCCGCACAAGCGGCGGAGCAUGCGGAUUAAUUCGAUGCAACGCGUAGAACCUUACCUGGGUUUGACAUGAUCGGGAGUGCUCAGAGAUGGGUGUGCCUCUUUUGGGGUCGGUUCACAGGUGGUGCAUGGCUGUCGUCAGCUCGUGUCGUGAGAUGUUGGGUUAAGUCCCGCAACGAGCGCAACCCUUGUUCACUGUUGCCAGCACGUUAUGGUGGGGACUCAGUGGAGACCGCCGGGGUCAACUCGGAGGAAGGUGGGGAUGACGUCAAGUCAUCAUGCCCCUUAUGUCCAGGGCUUCACGCAUGCUACAAUGGCUGGUACAGAGAGUGGCGAGCCUGUGAGGGUGAGCGAAUCUCGGAAAGCCGGUCUCAGUUCGGAUUGGGGUCUGCAACUCGACCUCAUGAAGUCGGAGUCGCUAGUAAUCGCAGAUCAGCACGCUGCGGGAAUACGUUCCCGGGGCUC
This 647-nucleotide ribosomal RNA is filed under the name uncultured Propionibacterium sp. RNAcentral's name for it is "bacterial SSU rRNA". It matches the Rfam family "Bacterial small subunit ribosomal RNA", at positions 735 to 1382 of the family's 1533-position model. Lineage: Bacteria; Bacillati; Actinomycetota; Actinomycetes; Propionibacteriales; Propionibacteriaceae. The record is from RNAcentral.